GAAUGUGAGAUUAAUCUGGCUGCAACAUCUGUCACUCUAUUGAUUGCCAGGGUUGAUUUGGCUGAUCUGGCUGGCUAGGUGGGUGUCCCCUUGCUCCCUCACUUCUCCAUGUGCAUCCCUCCUGAAGCUGUGUCCCUCAGUCAAAGAGGACGGAUGGAUGGCCUUCCCCAGUAGAGGUAUACUAGUAGCUACACACCCCUGUUAGAACCUCCAAACAAACUCUCAAGAAUGAGAAGCAUUGUGUUGGGUUGCUGGGAAGUCAUGAUCCUUUUUUUUUUUUUUUUUUUUGCCUAGGAAAACAGGAAAAUAAA
Molecule: non-coding RNA, 311 nt
Organism: Erinaceus europaeus (western European hedgehog)
Lineage: Eukaryota; Metazoa; Chordata; Mammalia; Eulipotyphla; Erinaceidae
Source: Rfam